This 498-nucleotide ribosomal RNA is filed under the name uncultured bacterium. RNAcentral's name for it is "partial 16S ribosomal RNA". It matches the Rfam family "Bacterial small subunit ribosomal RNA", at positions 29 to 523 of the family's 1533-position model. The record is from RNAcentral.
AUUGAACGCUGGCGGCAUGCUUUACACAUGCAAGUCGAACGGUAACAGGCCUUCGGGCGCUGACGAGUGGCGAACGGGUGAGUAAUGCAUCGGAACGUGCCCAGUCGUGGGGGAUAACGCAGCGAAAGCUGUGCUAAUACCGCAUACGAUCUGUGGAUGAAAGCGGGGGACCUUCGGGCCUCGCGCGAUUGGAGCGGCCGAUGUCAGAUUAGGUAGUUGGUGGGGUAAAGGCCCACCAAGCCGACGAUCUGUAGCUGGUCUGAGAGGACGACCAGCCACACUGGGACUGAGACACGGCCCAGACUCCUACGGGAGGAAGCAGUGGGGAAUUUUGGACAAUGGGCGCAAGCCUGAUCCAGCAAUGCCGCGCGCAGGAAGAAGGCCUUCGGGUUGUAAACUGCUUUUGUACGGAGCGAAAAGGCUCCCUCUAAUACAGGGGGCUCAUGACGGUACCGUAAGAAUAAGCACCGGCUAACUACGUGCCAGCCGCCGCCGUAA